Molecule: unclassified non-coding RNA, 339 nt
Filed under: soil metagenome
Description: partial contains 5.8S ribosomal RNA, internal transcribed spacer 2, and large subunit ribosomal RNA
Rfam family: 5.8S ribosomal RNA (bases 1-120)
Source: RNAcentral
GAUGAAGAACGUAGCGAAAUGCGAUAAUUAAUGUGAAUUGCAGAAUUCCGUGAAUCAUCGAGUCUUUGAACGCACAUUGCGCCCCUCGGUAUUCCGUGGGGCAUGCCUGUUCGAGCGUCAUUUAACCCCUCAAGCCUAGCUUGGUAUUGGGUGCUUGUCCCGCCUCUCGCGCGGCGACUCACCUCAAAGUCAUUGGCAGCCCGCAUCUCGCCGGCCGUGAGCGCAGCACAGACGCGCUCUUGGCAACGACGGAUCGGCUCUCCAAAAGCUUAUUUCAACCACUGACCUCGGAUCAGGUAGGGAUACCCGCUGAACUUAAGCAUAUCAAUAAGCGGAGGA